This 1755-nucleotide long non-coding RNA is filed under the name Lactuca sativa (garden lettuce). RNAcentral describes it as "long non-coding RNA (LSAT_LNC008089)". Lineage: Eukaryota; Viridiplantae; Streptophyta; Magnoliopsida; Asterales; Asteraceae. The record is from RNAcentral.
UAUACAAGAGUAUACACAUGUACCUAGUGCAUCUUUUCUUGUACGCUUUAAAUAUCUUUGGAAUAUAUGGAUAUUCCAGCGGAAUGGUGGUCUGGAUGAUGGCGACGGAGGUGGUAGUGGUGGUAGCAGUGGGGUGGUGAUGAGAAAUUAUGGUUGUACUAUGUUUGUGUGUCCUGAAUACAAAGGCAAAACAAUCAUUCUUGAAAUGAAAUUUAACCAAACUUGUGACCAAAUAAGCACCAAUAGAGUCUAAUUUUAAGCUACAUGUUACUCCAAAUCCAUUCUCCAACUUAAAGGAGAUGAAUUUUGAUAGAAAUUAUGGUUGUAGUAUGUUUGUGUGUUCACUAUAUAUUAUAAAAUCAGGAUUCUGCUACACAUUUAGUGGAUAUUUGUUUGGUUUCUAACUAUGCAAGGCGUUUGAUUAACAACCAAUAAGCCUCGGACAUACCAAAAGAAUACUUAAUUAGAGUGUCAUAAGCCAAAGUUCCUAAAAUUUGUAGUUGUCUUCUCCAUGCUUCAAAAAACUACCUAAAGAGUUUAGCUUUACCACAUCUAUCUUAAAAAGAAAUUUAAGGACCAAUGUUUAGACUUGUGAUUUCAAACCUCAUUCUUCCAGGAACCCAAAUCCAUUGCCAUAUCAAACAAGCUGUUAGUGACAUGGCAUUGGAAUUCAAGAAAAGAAGCCCCCUUGGUUUUCUGCUUCUGAAAAAUAAAAGUUCAUUGGAUCUCUGGAAGUCAAAGGAAUUCCCCUUCAACUAGAAAACUGAAAAAAAUGUUUAAUCUUAGUGAAACUCCUAGUGAUCUUUUAAAUUAUAUAUUAAGUAAUACACAAAGCCAUGCGCUUAAAGCAUUUCACAAUGCUUCGAUAAUUUAAUAUUACUACGCUACACAUCCUUAUUUCACACAUGCAGUCGAUGAUCAGAAACAAUAACAAAGUAUUGUUUCACUAAAAUUCUCUCAAUGAAGGCAAAUUUCAAUAUUUCAGAUUAGGUAAUAACAGAUACAUUUGCACAAAAAACUCAGUAUGAAACAUAUAGAACCAUUCGCUAAAACCACUUGUGUAGCUUAAAAGCAUCUUUCUAUUACAACUACUAGAACUUCCUCAAAAAAAUCCAAAUAACAAUUUAAUCAAAACUUACUUUGUUUUGCAUGGGGAAAUUGAUGAAAUUGUGAUCGAUCGGUAUAAAAGUAUCUUUCUAUUACAACUACUAUAACUUCCACAAAUUUUCAUGUCUUCCUGCAAAAAUGUGUGUCUUCAAGAAGUGCGUUUGUAAAACCUAAAACCGAUCGGCACAAAUAUGUCAUUCUGUUCGGUAAUACCUAAAACGGUUCUACACAAAACAUCAAAAUAAUCGUCGUAAAAUAGGUAAUCGGGAAUUGUAGACACAGAAUGAUGAAAAAACCUUAUCUGUUGAAGGAAUAGAACAUGUGAAGUGUGAGCUUGGAAUCCGUAGCCGGAUUUGAAACCUCGAUCCAGUAAACCCACAGUACUAUUUUCACAUCCAACCCCGAUUUUCCCCUUCUGCCAAAACAACACUCAGUUUUUCCAGCGUUUCAUCAGAACCAAACAUUUCCCAGAAAUAUUCCGGCAAAGUUAUGAAGGAGGGUACCGAAGAAGACCGGUUCGUCUGUGGCCGGGGCGUUAGGCAGGACGCGAAGAACCAAAGGAGUGUCGAUGUAGGAAAGAAGAUGCCGAAUCACCGGUGAGAUGGGGGAGGGGUAAAUCGGUAAUAAUAGAAAGUAUGAUAAAAUUAU